GACACCCUUUGUGAAAUUUCUAGCUCCGCCACUGGAUAAGGAAACCUGAAGAGGCCAUGUUCUUAUUGCAACAAACAUUCAUUCUAAUUCAAUAAUGCAAUCAAAUUACUUUUACCUUCAUUGUCAUCGAGCUCUUGCAAGUAAUGAUCAGCAUCCAAGGCUUCCACACACCCUACACAAAUAUGAAGUUGAAAAGCAGAAGCAACUUAGAACCGUAAUUUUGCUAACAUUACGCUAUCUCGUUAUCUUGAGAGAACAGUGAAAAUCAAAGCUUCAAACGAAUCCACAUUGAAGAUAUAAAUGACAAACAUAGAUGGAAAAUGCAAGCACAGAAGCGCACAGGCGCAAUCCUUUGCAGUGUUACAUGAGAAACUUCGCAAUUUACAAAAGUUUCUUUUACUCUAGCACAUAUUGGCUGCCAGAACAAUAAGAUAUUAUUGAUACAAUUCUAAAUCAAGGCUUUACAAAUUAGAAAAGAAAAAAACACAUAUUCAUGGACCAUAUUUUGAUCUCGCCAAAAGCUUAAUAUAUGAAAAAGCUCUCAGACACUUAUCCCAAGACAAUUUCCUAGGGACCCUUCCGGUCCUUAGGAAGCCAUAAUCUGGUGAACUUCCUUUGCCGGAAAACCCAAUCCCUUUUUUUCUCUUCCUUAUUCUUUCUUUCCCAUGGAUAACAGAAUAUAUUUCAGACUUGGGGUCAAAUCAUACGAUAUUACUGUGUCUAGAAACACGAAAGGAAACUGGUUUGAGUGGGUAGAGAGUGCGAAACUACACUGGAGGAGAAUGAAGCUGAGCAGGGAUGCUUUAUUAUGGACAUGCAAAAGGCUAGGGGAGGCUUCUGGCAUUAAAGGCAAGUCAUUUAAGACUUGGAGAUGCAAGGACUUUUCUACCUACAUUUAUUGCUCUUUGAAGUUCAAUAAAUACGGUAGGUUCAUCUCAAUCAUUGCGGUUAAUGGCCAUGAACGUUCGGUGAUUAUUCUGCCAGAAAACAUCUUUAAUGAGGGCUGGGGUGGCCUAUCAAAAAAAAUUGAAAGCUUCGACAUUAAGGAGGCAGGACAUGUUACUGAGAAACAGAGGAAUUCUGCGUUUAUGAGGUUCAGGGGAGAGGAAAGUUAUAAGGAGGUCAUUCAAAAGAGCAAAUGGGGGGCCAUAUCUGAUAGGAGAGCAGAAAAUCAGAAGGAGACACUCUGUGAAGAAGAAGGGGUCCUUAGCAGAUGUCUGGUGGGAAGCUUCCCAGAGGAUGACGAAAUUCCCUCACGGAACGAAGUCAGAAGGUGGGCUAUUCAAACGUGGAAAGGCAUCCAUAAUGUCAACAUUUACGACAUGAAUGGUAUUCAGUUUCUUUUCGAGUUCCAGUCAAGAAAGGAAGCAGAGCAUAUUGUUAUGGGGAAGUGGAGAAGAAAGAAUCACCAUUUACAGAUGGAAUGGUGGUCACCCAAAGCAGGAACAACGCAAGCUGACUUCAAGUUUGAUUGGUUUUGGGUUCGGAUUCUAGGUCUUCCUCUACAUCUCUGGACAGACAAGGUGAUGAAACAAAUUGGUGACCAAUGUGGGGGGUGGUUGGAGACGGAGGAGGAAACCACCUUAAAAAACCAUCUCCGAUGGGCUCGAAUUAGGGUUAAGGGUCCUAGGGAGAAAAUUCCGACGGAAAUCGAGAUUGAAGAUGGAGAUGGCAUUUUUCUGCUACCAGUAUGGUGUGAAGCUCCGGCAAGAUUCAAAAAAAAGAAGGGGGAGAAGCACUCUGAUCGAUAUGUCAGAGGUUUGACAUAUGGGGAAAGUUCUCUGCAGAGGGGGACUCUUACGACAGAGAUGGAAGAGAGAUUAAGGAAAGGCAAAGAGAGCUUUUGUCCAGAAGUCAAUCACGAUGGGGGUUUUGUACCGCUGGAUAAAGGUGGGCACGUGACUUGUGAAAAUUCAUCUGGAAAAAGGCAUGUGGAGGCCCAGGCAGAGAGUCCGGGUCGAAUUUUAUCCUAUUCAAAGUGUAGUGGGGCUGGACCCAUUAACUUAGGCCCAAAAGCUACAAUGACCUAUUUUACAGAACCUUUUAUCGGGGAUAUUUUCAACAACAGAACCUAUACGGAGAAUUUCAUGACAUCUUCUACAGAGCUUGAAGAACUCAUGCAAGCGACUCAUAAUCCAUCGAACAACAUCACAAUUGAAAUCAUUGACAUGCAGCGUGCAAUUGAUCCUUCAGAGUAUGUGGAGGAGACAAUACUUCCCUUAGUUUGCGAGAAAAGGGUGAACACAGGGGAUGAUCAAGAAGUUUACACAGGAGAACCCUCCAAGAACCAAUUGGUAAUUCUGGACGAGCCUCUUCCUAUUGCCAGUGAUGACUCUCUCUCAGAGGAAGCCAUUGAUGACAGAGCUUCUUUAUGGGUGCAAGCGAAUGUCCUUAAACUUAGCAGAUUAUUUGGUGCUGCCUUCGAAGGAUGCGAUAAGACUGCUUUUGAAUUAUUUCUGAAAAUUGAUCAAAAGAGGGAAUUCCUCAAGCAAAAUACGGAGAAACACAUAAAUGGAAAUAACUCCAAUAACAUCCCAAAGGAAGUGAGGAAUUUGGCUUUUAAUGUGAGUUUUAAAGAUGGUGAACCUAGAAGUAGGGGGAGAAAAACAACUUCAAGUGAUCAAUGUUUAAAGUUGUAACAUGGAAUGUUAGGGGGGCAAACAAUGAGAAUAAAAGAAGAUUAAUUCGGAGUCUACUUCAACAGUGGGGUGCAAAUAUAUACGUGCUAGUGGAAACAAAAUUGACAGAAGCAGAUACACAAUUGAUCAAACAAUUGUGGUUCAACCGAUGGCUGGGAGAACUACACUUAGAGGCUGUGGGGAGAAGUGGGGGUAUAGCAGUGUUAUGGGACAGAAGAAUGUGGAAAGGUGAAUUGGUGGAGGCUUCUGGGCAAGUAAUCACAUGUAAAUUUGAAGGCAUUAGAACAAUGGUGGAUGCAAGUAGAAGGUUUCAGGGAGAAGGUAAAGGAUUGGUGGUGCUCCUUCUCAGUAAAUGGGACCCCCUCUUUUAUCCUAGCUUCCAAACUGAAGUUACUGAAAGGGAAGUUAAAACAAUGGGGAUAUGAGAACAGAGUCAACUGGAAACAAAAGAAGGAAGAGAUACUCAAUCAAAUUGCUGGUCUGGAAAAGAUACAAGAGCAGAGAAUAUUGACUGAUGAUGAACUCCUUCAAAAAGUUCAUCUAUCUAGGGAGUUUGAUGAAGCUUCCAGGAGUGAGGAGAUAGCUUGGUGACAAAGGUCAAGAAUUCAAUGGCUUAAACAUGGAGACAAGAACACCAAGUACUUCCAUAGGAUGGCCACAGCACACAAAAGAAUAAACUCAAUUGAAAAACUGGAAGUAAAUGGCAGAGAGUUGACUGAUACUGAUGAGAUCAAAACGGAGAUUACUAAUUUCUAUCAGAAACUAUACAGAGAAACUGAGAAUUGGAGGUCUGGUCUAAACUUACAAGGCAUUGAAAGCAUCAGUUUGGAGGAGAAGGAUUGGUUACAAAGACAGUUCGAGGAAGAAGAAGUGGCAGAAGGAAUCAAAUUGUGUGCAAGCGACAAAGCCCCUGGCCCUGACGGGUUUCCUAUGAGCUUUUAUCAGAACUUUUGGGAGAUGCUCAAGGUAGAUAUCAUGAAUACCAUCAGACAAUUUCAUGAUCAGCAGGUCUUUGAGAAGAGCUUGAAUGCCACAUUUGUGGCUCUUACCUCGAAGAAUACAGAGGCAAUUGAGCUUAGGGACUUCAGACCCAUAAGUUUGAUAGGCGGGGUAUACAAAAUUAUAGCUAAGCUGCUAGCUGAGAGGUUGAAGAAAGUAAUAAACAAACUGGUAAACAAACAUUCAGAUGGCAUUCAUAAAAGGCAGACAGAUCAUGGAUGCUGCCCUUAUUGCUAGCGAAUGUGUAGAUACUAGACUCAGAGGGGUUGACUCUGGAGUUAUGUGCAAGCUAGACAUUGAGAAGGCAUAUGAUCAUGUCAACUGGUAGUUUUUGCUCAAUAUGUUAAAACAAUGGGGUUUGGUGAGAGAUGGUUGAGAUGGAUUGAGGUUUGUAUAAAAACUGUUAGGUUCUCCAUUCUGAUAAAUGGAGAACCUACCGGUUUUUUUCCCUCAGAAAGAGGUCUCAGGGAGACCCUUUGUCCCCUUUCCUUUUCAUCAUAGUCAUGGAAGGAUUCGAUAGUAUGAUGAGGGUGGCUAUUCAAAACUCAUUGUUGCAAGGAUUCAAAGUAGGCAAUUUCUCAGGGGUGGAUAUGCAAAUUUGUCACUUGCUUUAUGCUGACGACACUGUCAUAUUUUGUGAAGCUAAGGAGGAACAAAUUAGAAUUGUCAGAAUGAUAUUGGUAGUCUUUGAGGCGGUCUCAGGCUUGGCAGUCAAUUGGAGGAAGAGUUGUAUAUAUCCCAUCAAAGAGGUGACACAGAUCCAGGCCUUAGCAAACAUUUUGGGGUGCAGAAUUGAAAAACUCCCAACUGUUUACCUAGGUAUGCCACUUGGAAACAACCAUAAAGAGCUAGUGAUAUGGGAUGGUAUAAUUGAAAAAACUGAGAAGAAACUGGCAAACUGGAAAUCUCAAUAUCUAUCCUUCGGUGGGAGAACCAUUCUGAUAAACUCUGUACUAGACUCUUUACCUACCUAUGUGAUGUCCCUAUUCCCUAUGCCGGCCAAAGUGGAAGAAAGACUUGAUAAAUUAAGGAGAGAUUUUCUUUGGUCGGGAAUCAAGGAAGGUAAAAGAAUACAUCUUGUCAAAUGGCAAACUGCUUUGCUGAGUAGAAGCUCAGGGGGGUUAGGGAUCAGAAACUUGGGGCUACAAAACAAGUGCUUGUUGGCAAAAUGGUUGUGGAGGUUCGGAAGAGAGGAUCAAGCACUUUGGAAGGAAGUUAUCAGUAACAAGUAUGGCCAGAAUAGCCCAUGGGUUUCCAAUAUGGUGAAUAUCCCGUAUGGUGUCUCGGUGUGGAGAACUAUCAGAAAUUUAUGGGGUCAACUACAACACAAUAUUAGAUACAAAGUGGGGAAUGGGACCAGGGUUCUUUUCUGGAAAGAUCACUGGAUUGGUCAGGUUUCCUUGAUGUCUUCCUAUCCGGAUAUAUAUAUCCUCAGCUCAUCUCAAGAUGCAAUGGUAAAUGAGGUAUGGUCUGAACAAGGAUGGAAUUUCAGCUUCAGAAGGUUACUAAAUGACUGGGAGAUAGGGAGAGUAGCCGAGAUGCUACAAACACUAGAUGAUUUCAAGGGCACAAAUCUGGAAGUUGAUGUAAUGAUUUGGAAACACAAUCAUGAUGGUAUGUUGUCAGUCAGCAGAUUGUACAAUAGGAAAGUGAAGGAACUUCCAGGGGAAAUCUCUGGACCAUGGAGUAAGGUAUGGAAAAAUAAAGUGCCAACUAAAGUGCGGUGUUUCUCAUGGCUAGUGGCUAGAAGGGCAUGCCUAACUCAUGAGAAGCUGCAAAGAAGAGGCUUUGAAAUAGCUUCCUGGUGUUCACUGUGUAAUGAGACAAAUGAGACUAAUAGCCAUCUAUUCCUCCAUUGCAAAGUCACUGCUCAAUUAUGGGCCAUUUUUCUUAGCAGAACACACACAAACUGGACAAUGCCAGAACACACUGCAGACCUUCUUAGUUGCUGGGUGAGAAGAGGGGGGAGUAAGAGCCAGAAGAAAUGGUGGAACAUGAUACCCUCUUGUAAAUGGUGGACUAUUAGGAGAGAAAGAAACAAGAGGUGUAUGGAAAAUACUGCAGAAUCAGUACAAAAGAUCAAAAUGGCGUUGUAUGAAGACCUUCUGUUUUUGGUGUAAUGAGGAGGGUAUAGAGGAUGCUGGACAGAUUUUAAAAUUUUUUCUCUUCUUUAUAAGUUUAGUAACAAUUUCUUGAGUUGGUCUUUUUUUGGGUCACUGAUGUAAAUCUUUUUGAUGGUUGCCAGCAUACCCUCAUUGCUGAAGAAUACAACUUUACUUUAUCAAAAAAAAAAAAAAAUUUGAUCUCGCCAGCACAGAGACUGUCAUAGUAGAAGUAUGUGAGAUACACCUAAUAGACAUGCAGUAGACAUGGCCAACCAAGCAAACCAACUUCAUUUCUGGACCAAGCAAACCAAUAAUGAACAAAGAUUAAACCAAAUUUGGAUCACUAACCUGUGCCAGCAUGUGUGACGGUUUUGCCCAUACACUUUUUAUCUUGAAUAUAACCAGUAACAAAAAACGCCGCUGAUGCUAGUCUAUAUUGUCCUUGGCAUAGUUACCACAUACAGUCAAAACCGAACUGCAAAAGAAGAACAAUCUGAAACCUACAGCAAUCACUUUUCAACUUUAAGUCAUCCUGUCAGCCUAUUCUCCC
RNAcentral lists this long non-coding RNA (6293 nucleotides) under Solanum tuberosum (potato). Its description in RNAcentral is "long non-coding RNA (STUB_LNC003336)". Lineage: Eukaryota; Viridiplantae; Streptophyta; Magnoliopsida; Solanales; Solanaceae. The record is from RNAcentral.